CCUACGGGAGGCUGCAGUAGGGAAUAUUGCUCAAUGGGGGAAACCCUGAAGCAGCAACGCCGCGUGGAGGAUGAAGGUUUUCGGAUUGUAAACUCCUUUUGUUAGAGAAGAUAAUGACGGUAUCUCACGAAUAAGCACCGGCUCACUCCGUGCCAGGAGCCGCGGGAAUACGGAGGGUGCAAGCGUUACUCGGAAUCACUGGGCGUAAAGAGCGCGUAGGCGGGAUAGCAAGUCAGAUGUGAAAUCCUAUGGCUUAACCAUAGAACUGCAUUUGAAACUGUUAUUCUAGAGUAUGGGAGAGGUAGGUGGAAUUCUUGGUGUAGGUGUAAAAUCCGUAGAGAUCAAGAGGAAUACUCAUUGCGAAGGCGACCUGCUAGAACAUAACUGACGCUGAGGCGCGAAAGCGUGGGGAGCAAACAGGAUUAGAUACCCUUGUAGUC
This 440-nucleotide ribosomal RNA is filed under the name uncultured bacterium. Its description in RNAcentral is "partial 16S ribosomal RNA". It matches the Rfam family "Bacterial small subunit ribosomal RNA", at positions 338 to 795 of the family's 1533-position model. The record is from RNAcentral.